Molecule: ribosomal RNA, 462 nt
Filed under: uncultured bacterium
Lineage: Bacteria
Description: partial 16S ribosomal RNA
Rfam family: Bacterial small subunit ribosomal RNA
Source: RNAcentral
GACGAACGCUGGCGGCGUGCUUAACACAUGCAAGUCGAACGGAAAGGCCCUUCGGGGUACUCGAGUGGCGAACGGGUGAGUAACACGUGGGUGAUCUGCCCUGCACUUUGGGAUAAGCCUGGGAAACUGGGUCUAAUACCGAAUAGGACCACGCGCUUCAUGGUGUGUGGGGGAAAGCUUUUGCGGUGUGGGAUGGGCCCGCGGCCUAUCAGCUUGUUGGUGGGGUAAUGGCCUACCAAGGCGACGACGGGUAGCCGGCCUGAGAGGGUGACCGGCCACACUGGGACUGGGAUACGGCCCAGACUCCUACGGGAGGCAGCAGUGGGGAAUAUUGCACAAUGGGCGCAAGCCUGAUGCAGCGACGCCGCGUGAGGGAUGACGGCCUUCGGGUUGUAAACCUCUUUCAAUAGGGACGAAGCGCAAGUGACGGUACCUAUAGAAGAAGCACCGGCCAACUACGUG